AUUGAACGCUGGCGGCAUGCUUUACACAUGCAAGUCGAACGGCAGCGCGGGCUUCGGCCUGGCGGCGAGUGGCGAACGGGUGAGUAAUACAUCGGAACGUGCCCAGUAGUGGGGGAUAGCUCGGCGAAAGCCGGAUUAAUACCGCAUACGACCUGAGGGUGAAAGCGGGGGAUCUUCGGACCUCGCGCUAUUGGAGCGGCCGAUGGCAGAUUAGCUAGUUGGUUGGUUAAAGGCCUACCAAGGCGACGAUCUGUAGCUGGUCUGAGAGGACGACCAGCCACAUUGGGACUGAGACACGGCCAAGACUCCUACGGGAGGCAGCAGUGGGGAAUUUUGGACAAUGGGCGAAAGCCUGAUCCAGCAAUGCCGCGUGUGUGAUGAAGGCCUUCGGGUUGUAAAGCACUUUUGGCGGGAACGAAAAGGACUGUGCCAAUACCACGGUUCGAUGACGGUACCCGCAGAAUAAGCACCGGCUAACUACGUG
RNAcentral lists this ribosomal RNA (484 nucleotides) under uncultured bacterium. Its description in RNAcentral is "partial 16S ribosomal RNA". It matches the Rfam family "Bacterial small subunit ribosomal RNA", at positions 30 to 507 of the family's 1533-position model. The record is from RNAcentral.